RNAcentral lists this ribosomal RNA (500 nucleotides) under uncultured bacterium. Its description in RNAcentral is "partial 16S ribosomal RNA". It matches the Rfam family "Bacterial small subunit ribosomal RNA", at positions 28 to 507 of the family's 1533-position model. The record is from RNAcentral.
GACGAACGCUGGCGGCGUGCUUAACACAUGCAAGUCGAACGGGUCUGCCCUGUUUUUUGCGGGGUGGGUCAGUGGCGAACGGGUGAGUAACACGUGAGUAACCUGCCCCUCACUUCUGGAUAACCGCUUGAAAGGGUGGCUAAUACGGGGUGUUCUGGCUGUGCCGCAUGGUGUGGCUGGGAAAGAUUCACUUUUGUGGUGUUUUGGUGGGGGAUAGGCUCGCGGCCUAUCAGCUUGUUGGUGGGGUGAUGGCCUGCCAAGGCUUUGACGGGUAGCCGGCCUGAGAGGGUGGGCGGUCACACUGGGACUGAGAGACGGCCCAGACUCCUGCGGGAGGCAGCAGUGGGGGGUAUUGCACAAUGGGCGGAAGCCUGAUGCAGCGACGUCGCGUGAGGGAUGGAGGCCUUCGGGUUGUGAACCUCUUUCGCCGGUGAAGAAGGUCCUGCUCUUUGUGGUGGGGUUGACGGUAGCCGGGUUAUGAAGCGCCGGCUAACUACGUG